AAUAACAAGAAGGAUUAUUUCCAGAGAGAUUUUCCAGCCUGAACAAUAAGCACCUAACUUUGCUUUGUUAUACAGACACUACAUUCUCGGUCAAAAUGGAGAUCGAUGAAUGCAUGAAGAAAAGGGGAAAAAAGUACACUCAUUCUCGGUCAUAAUAUACGUCAUAACAAAUCGCCCCCACACCAUCCCUGCAAACACCCAAAUCGCGUUCCUAGUGUGGAAAGUGACCUCCAACGGAACCAAUCAACCAGUAACCAGCCUCGUCAACAAACGCACAAACAGAGCAACCCAAACCCUAACCCAUACAGAAACCCUAACCCCAAUACUCGCACACGAGAGAGUAUAAAGUUUACAGACAGAGCAACCCGAACACAAGCACACGAGUGAGGAUGAGAGAGGGAGAUAACAAUGAUAGUAUAGAAUUUACCACCGCGAACGAGGUCAAUGCCGACUGCAAUCCAGGUUCGACGUCGCUCCUCGUCGGAUCUGCCCGUCGCCGUCACACAUCAGAUCUGUUUGCCAUCGUCGUUGCUCAUCGCCACCACUGUCGCCCAUCAAUCGAAGAUGCGCACCGCGGAAGGCGGAUCCCCUACACUCCUCUCUCUCUCUGUAAGUCUAUAUCUUUU
RNAcentral lists this long non-coding RNA (626 nucleotides) under Actinidia chinensis (golden kiwifruit). Its description in RNAcentral is "long non-coding RNA (ACHI_LNC001973)". The record is from RNAcentral. Lineage: Eukaryota; Viridiplantae; Streptophyta; Magnoliopsida; Ericales; Actinidiaceae.